GAGAGUUUGUAACACCCGAAGUCGGUGAGGUAACCUUUUAGGAGCCAGCCGCCUAAGGUGGGAUAGAUGAUUGGGGUGAAGUCGUAACAAGGUAGCCGUAUCGGAAGGUGCGGCUGGAUCACCUCCUUU
Molecule: ribosomal RNA, 129 nt
Filed under: Vibrio cholerae
Lineage: Bacteria; Pseudomonadati; Pseudomonadota; Gammaproteobacteria; Vibrionales; Vibrionaceae
Description: partial 16S ribosomal RNA
Rfam family: Bacterial small subunit ribosomal RNA
Source: RNAcentral